Molecule: long non-coding RNA, 4091 nt
Filed under: Callithrix jacchus (white-tufted-ear marmoset)
Lineage: Eukaryota; Metazoa; Chordata; Mammalia; Primates; Cebidae
Description: lncRNA (ENSCJAG00000082898.1)
Source: RNAcentral
CCUCCACCUAGAUUUCAGAGGAUGUAUGGAAAUGCCUGGUUGUCUAGGCAGAAAUCUGUUGCAGGGGUGGAGCCCUCAUGGAGAAUCUUCACUAGGGCAAUGCAGAGGGGACAUGUAAGGUUGGAGCCCCUACCCUGAGUCCCUACUGGGGCACUGCCUAGUGAAGCUGUGAGAAGAGGGCCACUGUCCUCCAAACCUCUGAAUAGUAGAUAUACUGACAGCUUGUGCUGUGCACCUGGAAAAGCCAUGGGCACUCAAUGUUAGCCAAUGAAAGCAGCUGGAGGGGCUUUACCCUGCAGAGCCAUAGGGGCUGAGCUGUCCAAGGCCUUGGGAGCCCACCUCUUGCAUCACUGUGUCCUAGAUGUGAGAUAUGGAGUCAAAGGAGAUUAUUUUGGAUCUUUAAGAUUUAAUGGCUGCCCUGCUGGGUUUCAAACUUGCAUGUGAUUCCUUUGUUUUGGCCAUUUUUUUCCAUUUGGAAUGGGAACACUUACACAAUGCCUGUCCCCCCACUGUAUCUUGGAAGGAACUAACUUAUUUUUUACUUUACAGGCUUAUAGGUGGAAGAGACUUGCCUUGUCUCAGGGAAGAGAUGAGGAAUGACACUUUGAAGGUUCUUGGAUUGCUACUCAAUUUUAGCCGUGACUUUGGCAUCAAUUUAUCCUAAAUGCUUCUCUGAAUUCGGUCAUUCAGGUGCGCUGCUUUUACUGAGCAUCUUUGGUCCACUGUGUUCCGGGAGGGUGCUUGAUAGAUAUUGGGGGCUGAGUCACCACAACAGCUGGUCUUGAUCACCUCAAGGGUCUCUGCCACCACCAGUGAAGGAGCCAGGGGCCACUGUUGCCAUUGCCACUUCUAGAAACUCCAGGCCUGCUGUUAACUAUGCUGGGAAUUCAGAUACCUAUGGGACCCUAGAGUAAAAUGGACUGUGUCCCAAAGUAUUAGAGCCUUUCAUGAAAGAGGUCCACCAAUUCACAUGCCCACACACUUCACUGAUUCUCUACACUGCCAGGAUGGAACUGAGCACAGCUCACCAGUUCAGAGUCCUUCUAUCCUUGUGGUGAAUUCCUCUUAGGGGCUCCACAAUCCUUUCUUGCAACCUAACCUCAGACUAGGGGCAUUUGCAUACAUCAGGCCUAUUUUUAUAUCCUUGAUUUUAAAUGAGGAUCAGAGUUCCAGUCCCUUUUUACCCCUGGGAGAAUCCCAAUGUUUAAUGUAAUUUGGUCUAUGCACAUAGAUAUAAAAGGAUUCUUCUUAUCUCUAUGUGCUGCAGACAUAGAGGUGCUAAUGUAAGCAGGUGCUCUGAGGGGUGGGUUCAGGAAGCAUGCCAGUGGUGCCAGGCGGGGGAUGGAUGUUGUCUGCUCGUCUCAGCCACACUGGAACCCAGACUCUUGCCUAGCCAAAAUAUGCUGCUAGUCUUGCUUGGUAAUAGACAGUUAGCCUUAACUUUGUUUUUCCAAUGACUUUUCCUUCACUCUCAUGUUUCAGAGUCUUUUCCUAGUUUUUGGCACUGCUGACAUACCUACAUCUUGGAUUAUUCUCCCCUGCUUGCUAAUCCUGUACCACUGGCUUUCUGUUGGUUUGCUUUCUUCCUUCUCUUUCUCUUGUUCUCAGUGUUGACUCCUUCUCCUGCCUUGUAAUUGAAGGCUUUCACUCAGGUUCUACUUCCAUUUUUUGAGAUGAAGGCUCACCAUGUUGCCCAGGCUGGUCUCAAACUGAAUGGGCUCAGGGAUCUCUGGGCUCAGUCUCCUCAGUAGCUGGGAUUACAGGCAUGAACCACAGCACCUGGCCCCCUAUUUUCCCCCUUUCUGACAUUAGGUUUCCUAUCUAUUUGCUUACUUACUCACCCACUCCUUAUUCACUUAUUUACUGAGUUUCUUUCAUGUCUCUGUUAUGAUGUUGGGCAUGAGGAAUACCGAGAUGAAUAAAACCUAGUUUCUACUUUCAGGGAGUCAUAGAAACUGAUAAGGCAAAAUCUGACCCAGUACCUGGCUCUUUCUACUCAUAGUCUAGCACUCAUUGCCCUCUAUCAAAAGGCUAAGGCUUGAUUUUAAUCUCACAUCUUUCAUGAAUCCCAUGAUUCAUGAAAGAUGUGAGAUUAAAUGUAAGCUAGCACCACUAGCUUACAUUGAUUUUCUUCUCUAUACUGUUCUGAUCAGGAGAGCUGGAGUUUUUACCUUCAAUAGUUUGUUACCUUGGGUAAUUCAUUUAACCUGUGUUAGACUUAACAUCUGUCUGUGACAUGAAGAGGUUAUACGACUAGGGUCCUUCCAUUGUCAAAAUUAUAUUCCUAUGAUCAUAUACAAUUGUGGGGAGGGGGAGAUGGCUAAUAUAAAAAAGCAAUUAUAUAGUGAAACAAGUACUUACAAAAAUAAAAGAAAAAACCAACUUAUGGGUGACAGCCUCAUGAGAGUUGCUAGUACAUCAUAAAAUUGUUGGUUGGGCCUGAAAAAUAUCCAUCCUUAUCACCUAUUAUAAUUCAGCCAGCUGCGGCCAGGUGCAGUGGCUCAUGUCUGUAAUCUCAGCACUUUGGGAGGCCGAGGCGGGCAGAUCACCUGAGGUCGGGAGUUCGAGACCAGCCUCACCAGCAUGGAGAAACCCUGUCUCUACUAAAAAUACAAAAUUAGCCGGGUGUGGUGGCACGUGCAUGUGAUUCCAGCUACUCGGGAGACUGAGGCAGGAGAAUUUCUUGAAUCCGGGAGGUGGAGGUUGUGGUGAGCCAAGAUCACACCCUUGCACUCCAGCCUGGGCAACAAGAGCAAAACUCUAUCUCAAAAAAAAAAAAAAAAAAAUUAGCCUGUUGCCAGACCCAUUACCAUGCUCAGGUAAGGGAAGGCAGACAUGGGAGUGGCUGGAGUUAAAGCAGAAUAAAGUUGGCAGCCUUAAAUUUUCUGGAAGUAUUGUCCUUGUAUAGAAAUUGUCCUAAGGUCAUUGACCUUUAUAGUGAAUUUGUGCCUUAAUCUCUAAAUAUAUAAAGGUCAUUUAUGUUAAAUAAAGUUUUGCUUUGGAUCUUAAAAAUAACUUUCUGAUGAGAAAAGUGAUAUAUGGACACUGUUUUCUUACUCAUUGAUACUUUGAAUUUAAAGAAGAGAGGCUUACUCAAGGUAGUUGACUAAAGUGGGGUGUGUGUGUGUGUGCGUGCGUGUGCAUGCACGCACAUGUGUAAGAUUGUAGAAAGAAUAUAUCAGGCAGUCUCUCAUGGGCAUCCAAGACCAGGAACAAGGCACACAGAAACUGAAACAAGAAAGUCAGCAGCUCAGGCUCCACUACCCUUUCCAGUGGGCCGGUGUUCCCUUUGUCAUGACUUGUUUCUGAGUCUAGCUUCUCUUUGAAACAGGGUCUCUCUUGUCACUGAUGGUUUCUUUGCUCCCUUAUGACUUCAGCUUGGGGAUCGCUUUGGUUUGGUUUGACACCUACUCCAGCCCCAACUCUACACAACUUUGCAGAAAAGUACCUACCAGCAUCUUACUAAUUAGUCUCUGUGUUUGUUAGAGUUCUUAUGACAGCAGAAGGCCAUAAUUCAAAUGAAUUUAAGAAAAACAAAGAAUAUUUUUGGCUUGUACAAUCAGGAAGGAUAUUGUUGGCCAGCCUCAGGCAUGACUGAUCCAGUCAUACACAAUACUGUCCAAAUGCUAUCUCUGUCUCUUAGCUGCAUUUCUAUUUGCGUGUUGUCCUCAUGAAUCCAGACCACAGAAAGGCUCUUUCCGUGCAGCAGUGGAAGGGUGAGGCUGGGCACGGCUACUGAAAGCUCAGGGUUGCAUCAUUAUAGCUUUUGAGCCCAGAGGACAGAGCUUUUCCUAACUCUGCUCCAGCAUAUGGAUUCUAAAGGAAGAAUCCUUGACCUGCCUUGGGUUGGAUGGUCACUCUGGAUCAGUCACUAGGGUUGGGUGAUGGAUAUUAUAAUAGAUCAUGUUCCCUUUCCUGAACUUUGGCUUUAUAUUGUGAUGUUGGCUUUAUAUUGUGAUACUAUAUAGUCCCACUAGAAUCACAUGGUUUAUGUAAUGGGGAAGGAGCUGCUGCCUAAAAGGGAAUGAGGUAGUGGUUAGUAGAAGAAAAUAGGAAAGAAUGUUUAAAACAGCAGGUAUCUACCACAGUUU